This 434-nucleotide ribosomal RNA is filed under the name uncultured Lachnospiraceae bacterium. RNAcentral describes it as "bacterial SSU rRNA". It matches the Rfam family "Bacterial small subunit ribosomal RNA", at positions 341 to 792 of the family's 1533-position model. Lineage: Bacteria; Bacillati; Bacillota; Clostridia; Lachnospirales; Lachnospiraceae. The record is from RNAcentral.
ACGGGAGGCAGCAGUGGGGUAUAUUGCACAAUGGGGGGAACCCUGAUGCAGCGACGCCGCGUGAAGGAAGAAGUAUCUCGGUAUGUAAACUUCUAUCAGCAGGGAAGAUAAUGACGGUACCUGACUAAGAAGCCCCGGCUAACUACGUGCCAGCAGCCGCGGUAAUACGUAGGGGGCAAGCGUUAUCCGGAUUUACUGGGUGUAAAGGGAGCGUAGACGGAACGGCAAGUCUGAUGUGAAAGGCAGGGGCUCAACUCCUGGACCGCAUUGGAAACUGUCGGUCUUGAGUGCCGGAGGGGUAAGCGGAAUUCCUAGUGUAGCGGUGAAAUGCGUAGAUAUUAGGAGGAACACCAGUGGCGAAGGCGGCUUACUGGACGGUAACUGACGUUGAGGCUCGAAAGCGUGGGGAGCAAACAGGAUUAGAUACCCUGGUA